GACGAACGCUGGCGGCGUGCUUAACACAUGCAAGUCGAGCGGUAAGGCCCUUUCGGGGGUACACGAGCGGCGAACGGGUGAGUAACACGUGGGUGACCUGCCCUUAGCUCUGGGAUAAGCCUGGGAAACUGGGUCUAAUACCGGAUAUGACUCCAUGACGCAUGUUGGUGGGGUGGAAAGCCUUGUGCGGCUAGGGAUGGGCCCGCGGCCUAUCAGCUUGUUGGUGGGGUGAUGGCCACCAAGGCGACGACGGGUAGCCGGCCUGAGAGGGCGACCGGCCACACUGGGACUGAGACACGGCCCAGACUCCUACGGGAGGCAGCAGGUGGGGAAUCUUGCGCAAUGGGCGAAAGCCUGACGCAGCGACGCCGCGUGGGGAUGACGGCCU
RNAcentral lists this ribosomal RNA (388 nucleotides) under uncultured bacterium. Its description in RNAcentral is "bacterial SSU rRNA". It matches the Rfam family "Bacterial small subunit ribosomal RNA", at positions 28 to 417 of the family's 1533-position model. The record is from RNAcentral.